Molecule: non-coding RNA, 108 nt
Organism: Elizabethkingia anophelis
Lineage: Bacteria; Pseudomonadati; Bacteroidota; Flavobacteriia; Flavobacteriales; Weeksellaceae
Source: Rfam
UAGGGUGGUUAUAGCGGUGGGGCUCACCUGUUCCCAUUCCGAACACAGAAGUUAAGCCCACCAGCGCCGAUGGUACUGCUAACGCGGGAGAGUAGGUCGCCGCCAGUU